GGCCCCGCCUUAUGCGCCUGCCGCUGAGCGGACCUCUGGGACCUAGGGCUUCUGGACGCCGCCUUCGUUCUGGGCACCAUGUGUUCGGAGCACACCACGCGGUAUCAGGGUCACAGCUACAGAGAAGGAAGCAGAUGUUUGGUGAUUAGGGUCAUCCAGUGGGCUCAGGCUGACACCACACCGUGCCCUCCCCACUCAGUCCCCCAGCUUUCCAAAGGUGAGCAGGGCCUUGGUGUGUGAAUGACCCGGAGAGAUGGACUGGAUUCAUUGCCCUGAGCACCAAUGCCAGUGAGUGCCUGGCAGCCAGUAGAGAGAUGGGGAAAGUAAAUGAGGAAUCCUCCCAACCAGACACUCACUCUGUCAGGAAGGUAUUAGAAUCUUUAGAUGAGGACUCUAAAAUUCGGGAAAGUUAAGUCACUUAUCUAAAGACACAUAUCUACCGAAUGGCAGCGUGGGAUCUGAGCCACAUCUGCGCAAUGCGAGGGCGCGUGCUGUGCUAUCUGUAGCCUGCCCCAGAGUGUCAUGGAGAAAAGUGGAACCCUCAGGCAAGAUAGAAUAGGGUUGCAGCGGCCGGGCGCGGGGGCUCACGCCUGUAAUCCCAGCACUUUGGGAGGCCGAGGCAGGCGGAUCACGAAGUCAGGAGGUCGAGACCAUCCUAGCUAACACGGUGAAACCCCUUCUCUACAAAAAAUACACACACACACACACACACACACACACACAGAAGAAGCCGGGUGUGGUGGUGCAUGCCUGUAGUCCCAGCUACUCGGGAGGCUGAGGCAGGAGAAUCGCUUGAACCCAGGAGGCGAAGGUUGCAGUGAGCCGAGAUCGCGCCACUGCACUCCAGCCUGGGUGACCGAGCGAGACUCCGUCUCAAAAAAAAAAAAAAAGAAAAAAGAAUAGGGUUGCAGCUACUCCGGAGGCUGAGGCAUGAGAAUCACAUGAACCUGGGAGGCGAAAGCUGCAGUGAGCUGAGAUCGUGCCACUACACUCUAGCCUGGGCGACAGAGGGAGAGUCUGUCUCAAAAAAAUAAAAAAUAAAAAAGAUAGAAUAGGGUUAGAAGUACAGAGUUGGGAACCAUAUUCUGAGUUUGGAUUCUAGGUCUGCCACUUGCUUGCUGUGUGACCUUGAACAAGUCAUGAAGCUUCUUUGGGCUUCAGUUUACUUACCUGUGAAAUAGGGAUGAACAAUAGUACCUUUCUCAUAUGAUAGUUAUGAGGAUCAAAUAAAAUACAUAAAGCAUCUAAAAUAGUGCAUAGCACAUGGUGACAAUAUAACUAGCUCUGUUAUUACUAUUACAUGUAACAGGAUUCACCUGAAGCUCCAAAGGCCCAGGACAAUACACUCAGCCCUGCAGCUUUACACUUCCAGGGGGCACUAUUCACAUUAUAUUCUCUAUUCUUGUUAUAUUUUGUCUAAAUAAGACCCUGAGAGUUAUGCAGUGUACCAGUUUUGAAUGGAUACCAAGUACCCCCACAUUCCAAGGAGAGAUACAAGACCCAUAUUAUGCAGGACUUGCCAAAGGGAAAUCUGAAAUCUAAUUUUUGUGCCUUUUGCCAAUGCCCACCUUUAAAGUGUGAAAAAUCGGCUGGGCAUGAUGGCUCAUGUCUAUAAUCCCAACACCUUGGGAGGCUGAGGCAAGGGGAUCACUUGAGCCCAGAAGUUCAAGACCAGCCUGGGCAACAUAAUGAGACCCCCAUCUCCAAAAAAAAUUAAAAAAUAGUUGGGCAUGGUGCACACCUGUAGUCUCAGCUACUUGGGAGGCUGAGGUGGGAGGAUCUCUUGAGCCUAGGAGGUGGAGGCUGCAGUGAGCUAUGAUGGUGUCACUGUACUCCAGCCUGGGUGGCAGAGCAAGACCCUGUCUCAAGGAAGAGAUAAAGUAUGAAAAAAUUAAAGAUGCAAAUUAAGAGAAAAGAUUUCUGUGAAAAGAAUGCAUUUCAGGGAAAUACUCUGAGAACUUUUGAUCUGAGAGUUUGGGAAGCGUAAGGACUGCUCUGAGAAGCCGUCCCUAGGAGGACCUGAGGUGGCAGGGCAGAAAAAGAGACAGAGAGAAGGAGAGAGAAGCCUGCUGCAGGAGUUAACUGUGGGGGAAUCGUGUGACAUUUUUUCCCCAAGGGAUAAAUAGAUCUGUGGAGAGUGGACUGGAAGUUUUCUUCAAAGGGAAUGUGCCCAAGAGACUUCCCGGAGGAGCUAAAUGAUUCAGCACACAGACCCCCCAAAGAACGCAGUGGCAUCCUUACCUUCCAAACUGGAGAAGAGAUAUCUCUUGUCUCAUGGGAGUUGCAUGUGGAGGAUGCCAGCAAGGAGAAUCUCCAAGAUACCACAAAAAGUUCCCUCUAAGAGAAACAAUCAGCCUUGAGCAUGUCUAAGCCAGAAAGCACCAGAAUCAGAUCACCAUAAACCCAGCCAGAUAAAGGUGUGUACCCACCCGCCACCCCAUCCCCUAGACUUUAUCCUUCCCAGGAGUCAGAAACAACAGCUAAUGGGAGAGGCGAGUACAGAAAAGAGACUGACCCCAUCCUCCAUCCCACUGCAGGCUUCUGGCGUGGAAUAGGCCAAGCAGGAAGAGGAGGAAGCCAUGAUGUUGGUUGAAGUUGUGAAUUUCAAUCACGAUCCUGGACAUGAUAGUUUACAGAAACGAGGGUAUAAUUAGAUGAAAGUAACCAGACAACUCUUCAUUGUCUCAGAGUGACCAGAAAAGCUCUGGAAGAUGCCAGAGACUUCAUCUAGGUCAGGGAAAGAAAUAACCCAUAGAGAUGAUUUCAAGGUAACAGAUAAUGUUUUCUGUUUGUGCCUUAUCAAGUUCAGCUCACUUAAUAUACUGCUUUAAUAAUUAUAGAUAUUUGUAUGUAUGUGUUGCAGUGCCCUCAGUAAUGCAAAUUGGGAUAUGUGAAUUGGGGUAUGAUUGGCUCCUCUCCUUGGCAGGUAGAAUAACACCAGGCAGAGAAACAGCAGCCAGGCCCUUCACCAAACCAAAAGAUAGAGGAUGGGUGCCUUUCAGUCUGGUAUUUUGCUGGUCUAGUCUCCCCAAGAAUAGGUUGAUUUAAUGGUUGCCUACUAACUGGGAGAUUCCUAGAAACCCUGGCCUGGUCCCAGAAACCAGGACAGACACCACCAGGUGGCACCAAACUGUAGCCAAACUGAGAAGAGAUUGGACUGGACCCUAAAAACUCCCAGCGUAGGCUUUUGUUCAUCUGUCUCCAUUUAUACAAAUGGACGUGCGACAUUUAAGGCGGGUGAUGGAAGUCUUCAACAACUGGAUUGUGGUGCUGGUUGCACAGCUCUGUGAAUCAUUGAAUUGUACAUUAGUGAAUUUUAUGGUAUUUAAAUUAUACCUUAAUAAAGCUGUUUAAAAAAUUAUAAUUAAAAAACA
Long non-coding RNA from Homo sapiens (human), 3374 nucleotides. RefSeq lists it as uncharacterized. The record is from RefSeq and is a predicted model, not a curated record. The transcript is spliced from 2 exons. NCBI's taxonomy places the organism in Eukaryota, Metazoa, Chordata, Mammalia, Primates, Hominidae.